RNAcentral lists this transfer RNA (90 nucleotides) under bacterium. RNAcentral describes it as "tRNA-Ser". It matches the Rfam family "tRNA". Rfam says of the family: Transfer RNA (tRNA) molecules are approximately 80 nucleotides in length. Their secondary structure includes four short double-helical elements and three loops (D, anti-codon, and T loops). The record is from RNAcentral.
GGUGGGAUGGCCGAGCGGACGAAGGCGCACGCCUCGAAAGCGUGUAGGCGGUGAUGAAUCGUCUCGGGGGUUCGAAUCCCUCUCCCACCG